GCGGCGGGGCCGGGAGGGUCAGCACAUUGUGAGCCGGCAAGGGGACGCGGAACAGCCGGGCGGCGCGCGGCCACCGGGCACGGAAUCCGCUGUCGCCACCACUCCGCCGCCGCAGCCCGAUGCCCUGGACAUCAUUCCGAACAGCACAAUUCAAGGGUGGCUGAAACAACAAAAAUGUAACGUCUUACAGAUCUGAAGGCUUCCGGGUCGAUUCUGGACUGUGAUGAGAAUCUGUGCCAAGCCUCUCUCCUGGCUUCUGGUAGACUCGGGCAUUCCUUAGCUUGUAAAUGGCUGCUGCUUGUGUCAUCACAUUGUCUUCCCUUUCUACUUAUCUGUCCCCAUGCCCCAAUUUUUCCUUUUCAGGACACCAGUCAGAUUAGGACCCACCCUAAUGAUCUCAUCUUAACUUGAUUAACUACAAGGACCCUAUUUUUAAGUACACAUUUACAGAGACUGGGGGGUAGGACUUCAACAUCUUUUUGGAGGGAUGCAGUUCAACCCAUAACAAGAAUCAUUGUUAGAAAUGAUUUUGCUUCUUCACUGAAAAAUUAAUAUCAUUCUGCAGAGAACUGACUUGCUGCACAUGGCACAGAUUUUUUGCAUUUAUCAUAGUAAAAGAAAUCAGUCACAAAAGUUUGUUUUAGACUGCUACAUACCUAUCACAAAUACAAAUUAUUUCCAACAUCAAAAGUUAAUAAAGCAAGCACUGUCACCCAAAUUAUAUUGUAUCUAUUGAGCACUCCCUUAUGUACAGAAGAGGAAAAUGAGAAAUGAACAGGAAGUUUAACAUUCAUAAAAACUGUUGGCUGGGCGCGGUGGGUCACUCCUGUAAUCCCAGCACUUUGGGAGACCGAGGUGGGUGGAUCACCUGAUAUCAGGAGUUCAAUACCAGCUGGCCAACA
RNAcentral lists this long non-coding RNA (902 nucleotides) under Homo sapiens (human). Its description in RNAcentral is "HSALNT0110790". The record is from RNAcentral. Lineage: Eukaryota; Metazoa; Chordata; Mammalia; Primates; Hominidae.